RNAcentral lists this ribosomal RNA (501 nucleotides) under uncultured bacterium. RNAcentral's name for it is "partial 16S ribosomal RNA". It matches the Rfam family "Bacterial small subunit ribosomal RNA", at positions 30 to 523 of the family's 1533-position model. The record is from RNAcentral.
AUUGAACGCUGGCGGCAGGCUUAACACAUGCAAGUCGAGCGGGGGAAGGUAGCUUGCUACUGGACCUAGCGGCGGACGGGUGAGUAAUGCUUAGGAAUCUGCCUAUUAGUGGGGGACAACAUCUCGAAAAGGAUGCUAAUACCGCAUACGUCCUACGGGAGAAAGCAGGGGAUCUUCGGACCUUGCGCUAAUAGAUGAGCCUAAGUCGGAUUAGCUAGUUGGUGGGGUAAAGGCCUACCAAGGCGACGAUCUGUAGCGGGUCUGAGAGGAUGAUCCGCCACACUGGGACUGAGACACGGCCCAGACUCCUACGGGAGGCAGCAGUGGGGAAUAUUGGACAAUGGGGGGAACCCUGAUCUAGCCAUGCCGCGUGUGUGAAGAAGGCCUUAUGGUUGUAAAGCACUUUAAGCGAGGAGGAGGCUACUCUAGUUAAUACCUAGGGAUAGUGGACGUUACUCGCAGAAUAAGCACCGGCUAACUCUGUGCCAGCCGCCGCCGUAA